AAGGGAAGCAAAAGGCUGGGAUUCACUUCAGAUGGUGAUAGCACCAGCAGUCCUGCAUCUGGGACCUAAUGAAGAUGGAUAACUGCUGAGUUCUGCAGCUUUGUAAGCUGGCUGGAUUAACCUUUGUGAUAGUCAAGCAAUACAUAUUCAAGCUCACUGUACCUGUUCCCUGUAGGGAAAAUUGUUCCACCUGCCAGAAACCUCAGGAUUUUCAUCUCAUUUUCAUCUUCUCAAGGAAAACAUUUCAGGUAUUGACUCGUUACGGCACUGAUUCAGUAAAUCUGUGUAGUCUGAGAUUCUGUCCGUAGAUGGUUGUCCUUGUCUUCUCAAGUUGUCCAACAAAAGAGUGUUUGAAGCUGUGCAGAAGUAGUGUGAAACAGAUUUGGCUAUUCUAGAGGUCUGCAAGGUGUCCUGUCAGGGAGGCUCACUUUUGGGUGCCCAUCCCUAACAAGUACAUAUGUUGCUGAUAAAAUAGCAGAAGUGUAGAUCGAG
RNAcentral lists this long non-coding RNA (492 nucleotides) under Anser cygnoides (Swan goose). Its description in RNAcentral is "lncRNA (ENSACDG00005007893.1)". Lineage: Eukaryota; Metazoa; Chordata; Aves; Anseriformes; Anatidae. The record is from RNAcentral.